CCUACGGGAGGCAGCAGUGAGGAAUAUUGGUCAAUGGACGAGAGUCUGAACCAGCCAAGUAGCGUGAAGGAUGACUGCCCUAUGGGUUGUAAACUUCUUUUAUACGGGAAUAAAGUGAGGCACGUGUGCCUUUUUGUAUGUACCGUAUGAAUAAGGAUCGGCUAACUCCGUGCCAGCAGCCGCGGUAAUACGGAGGAUCCGAGCGUUAUCCGGAUUUAUUGGGUUUAAAGGGAGCGUAGGCGGAUUGUUAAGUCAGUUGUGAAAGUUUGUGGCUCAACCGUAAAAUUGCAGUUGAAACUGGCAGUCUUGAGUACAGUAGAGGUGGGUGGAAUUCGUGGUGUAGCGGUGAAAUGCUUAGAUAUCACGAAGAACUCCGAUUGCGAAGGCAGCCUGCUAAGCUGCAACUGACAUUGAGGCUCGAAAG
This 424-nucleotide ribosomal RNA is filed under the name uncultured Bacteroides sp. RNAcentral describes it as "bacterial SSU rRNA". It matches the Rfam family "Bacterial small subunit ribosomal RNA", at positions 338 to 759 of the family's 1533-position model. Lineage: Bacteria; Pseudomonadati; Bacteroidota; Bacteroidia; Bacteroidales; Bacteroidaceae. The record is from RNAcentral.